Molecule: long non-coding RNA, 3597 nt
Organism: Passer domesticus (house sparrow)
Lineage: Eukaryota; Metazoa; Chordata; Aves; Passeriformes; Passeridae
Exons: 5
Source: RefSeq, a predicted model, not a curated record
CCGCCCGCCCAGCGGGAGGUGCUCAGGGUCCAGCCCUGCAGCUUCCAGCAGCUCCACAGGGAGCAGCAGCCCCCAGCCUUCAACCCACGAGGCAGGAAAAGAGUUGUAGCCUUGUUUUUCCAAAACGUAAUGAAAAGUGACGUUUGAAGUAUUUUUCCACAAGGCUCUGUCAUUCUCAGCCAGAAAUUGUCAAGCCUAUUAGGAAGAGGAACCUAGAAGGCCAAAAAAUUCUCUGCCUGUUUUUUUUCCUGCAUGCUUCCUGUGAUGUUUGAUCCAAGGCAGCAAUAGAGAUCUGUGUCCCAGAGCCACAUUGUGGAGCCUGACCAAUAUGUUUGGAUUCUUGCAGCCCCCCCAGGCACUUUAGCGUCCAGCACUCCAGCUGGCAGUGCUGGUUGUGCAGCAUUGACAGUGUCCAGCUCCACACAGAACACACCUGGGGAAGAGCAGUCACCAGUGGAUCUUGGCUUUGCCAUUGAGCAAAUGAUCCGGGAGAUCCCUGCCUGAAAGGUCUCCCUCUGCACAGGGCAAUAUUAAUGUUGUGCCUGAGUCUUCUGGAGGCGAGCCUGUGAACCAGGCUGCAGCAGAGGAAGCCUCAUCUGGCACUGAGAAGAACAGUUUGCCAGAGCCUGAGGAGCUUGAUCCUGUGUGAUCGACCUCUGCAGGAGGGCUGCCCUGUGUGGCAGGAAGAGACAGAGGGAGAGGCUGUGACCAUCGGGCAGGUAGAAUUCCUCUGUCUCUAGUUAUAUUUAUAGAUGCGCAUAGUUAUGUUUAUUUAUCUAGGUAGUUGUAUUUAUAGAUUUAUGUAAUUAUAUUUAUCUAUAUAGGUAGAGAUCUGUACAGUUAAUUUUUUUUUUGUUUUAGAUGUAUAUCGUUAUAGCUUUAGAUGUGUUGGUGUAGUUAUAGAUGUGCACAGUUGCACUUAUACCUGUGUAUAGUUACAUUUAUAUAUAUACAUUUGUAAAUGCAUAUUUAUAUUUGUAUAUGGGGGUUUAGCUAAAUAGAUUGAUAUCUGUAGACGCCUCUUUUUAACCUCUUGCCCUGCUCUGCUUCCUCCCUCACUCGUGCUUUUCCCCCUGUGCCCCCUCUGUCCCCUCUCCCUGGGCUGGGUCCGAGCUGGCGGCCGGGCCGGGCGCAGCAGCAGCUCCAGCCCCGGGUGUCCCUGGAGCGCUGGGAGCUGCCGGUGGCCCCAGGCACUGUCCCCUGAGGAGCUGCUGAAGGACGGUGAGACUGAGGGGGCUGAGGGGGCGGUGGCGCUGAAGGGACGCUGACCCUGAGCUGCUGCUGGGGCUGAGGGCUGUGGGGCAGCCCAGGGCCAUGGUGGCACUGAGGUGACAGGCAAGUGGCACAGGCUGAGGGGCUGGCGGGUCUAAGGGGAUGGGAUGGGUCAGAAGGGACUGAGGGAGGUGAGAGGACUGUGAGGGGCUGAAGAAGCUGAAGGGGGCUGGGGGUUUGGCGAGAGCAUGGGUGGGGCUGAGGGGAUGGAGGGGCCAGCAGGGAGCACAGAGGGCUCUGGGACUGCAGCUCUGACAGGCCUUGGAACCAAUUCCAGAGCCUCCACUUUUGCCACAGCUGCAAAGAAAACCUUGAGAACAGCCGGAGACUGCCAGGAGCCAGCAGGGAGAAGCUGAGUGCCAGCAGCAGGAGCAGUGAGCAGGGCCCUGCUGCUGCCAGCCUGGAGAGAGCCCGGAUGUCCCAUCUGCUGUCCCUGUCCAGGAGAUGUGCCGAACUUCAUCUGCAGGAUCAGAAGAACCAGUGUCCUUUGGCCUCCCCCAGUUCCCACUGAGGACGAGAGCACCUGCAGAGCAGAGGAGACCAGCUGCAGCUCCAGGCCCAGGUCUUGCUGGUCACAGCUGAGCCUGUGUGAAAAGGUUUCUUAAGUUAUAGGUUAAAAUUCAACACAUAAUUCUACAAGCUAAAAUUUAAAUGCUGAAUUCAUAUUGCUAACUCAAGGGAGCUCCAAAAAUCUCUAUUUCAAAAGCAACAAACCUUUGAAAGGUUAAACCUCAACAGAGCUGUGAUCCUCCAUCAAUACCUCCUUCUUCCACUUGCUUAAAAUCUCUUUGUUCUGGGCACUCACUAAGGCCUUUUUCCUGGAAGCUCUCUGGCUGUCUUGAAUGCUUAUGGAGUAACAGGUAAUCCCUGAUCUAUUUUCAACUCUCUGCCCAGAGACUUCUGGAAGGGAGGUAGGACUGGUACUGGGGACCUGGCAGCUUGUCCAGGAAUCAAAAUUAUUGAAAUAAUGGUAAUGUGGACAAGGCAUGCAAGUCCAGGUGGUGAGCUCAAAUAUGCAAGUACUUGCAGUUUCCCCUCAGCACUUGACAGCUAAGGGGUAUGGUCUCUUCUUAUUUCUGUCUCUUAAUCCUCAAUCCUUGCCACACUCCUUCAACAUCUUUUGCAUUGUCAUCUUCCCUGUUUUCUCCCUCCCUUCUUCUUUCUGUGACUUUCUGUACACGACAGACUAUCUGUCACACUCUGUCAGCUUGCUCAGUCACCCGAGCAGUGAUAAUGAUGGUGUAGAAAUUGUAGGUGCACAGGAGGCAAAGGUGUCAUGCUUCUGUGUGCCCUCUGCAGGCAAAGCUGCUUCCCGAAGCUUCAGUCAAACUUGGAACAAAGGCUUGUCCCCACUGCAGGGACAAGAGAGGUAGGAAACUGGGCUCAUAAAACAUGCUUCUUCUGCUUCAACAAAAAACCGUGACUUCCCUUCACAGAGAAGGAUGUAAACUUUUUCUUGAAGGGAAUAAACAAAUCUCUUUAUGUCCUGAUCUUUUACCAGUCUGAAAUUAUUUAAAAAUGUCGUAAAUUUUGUUUGUUUGUUUGUUUCUUUGUGGUGUUUUUUUUUGUUUGUUUUGGGGGUUUUUUGGGUUUGUUUUUUUUUUUUUUUGUUUGUUUGUUUGUUUUGUUUUGUCUUGUUUUGGUUUUUUUGGGGGUUUUUUUGGUUGUUUUUGGUUUUUUGGGUUUUUUUUUGUUGUUGUUGUUGUUCUGGGGUUGGGUCUGCAUUUCAAGCCUGUUCUCCCAGCAGUCAGGGACCUGCACAGCUGCUGUGGGUGGGGCAGGUGCUCAGGUAAUUACCAACAGGUAAUUACUAACAGCCAGGUGAGAAGUUGGCUUGUGCCUGGUUGAGGGCUUGAGGACUGUGCUGAGAGAAGGGCUAGGGAGUGGAGUGGAAAAUACAAUUUACACAAGCAGAACCUGCUGUCCCCUGCGCUCGGAACAGGCGUGGAGGGUCCCCAAGGCAUCCUCAGAAUGGGCUUUGCCCUCACCUUGGCUUGUGCUGCUGCAGAUUUUGGAGACAAUUGUGCAUAAGAACGGGCACUAGAACCAGACUUGGGGCUGGCAUGCUCUGCAUUUCCAGAAUGGCUCAUGGACAGGGUAAGGUGGUAUCAGUGCACUCUGGGUGAAGCUGUGAUUCUAUGGAUACUUCAGUAAGAGAGGUUUUUUCAGGGUGAUUAAACUUUCGUCCUUGCUGUGCUUUCUAUGACAUUUGCAUCUCUAUUUUGUAAAACUUCAGAAAUCUGAAUCCUCUUUGGCCCUGUGAAAUGUUAAAAACGUCAGCAAAAGCCAUCAUAGUUUGCAUGCGAAAAUACAUAAUUUUUUACA